AGAGUUUGAUCCUGGCUCAGGACGAACGCUGGCGGCGUGCCUAACACAUGCAAGUCGAACGGAGAAAUUCAGCAAUGGAUUUCUUAGUGGCGAACGGGUGAGUAACGCGUAGACAACCUGCCUCUAAGAUGGGGACAACACCGCGAAAGUGGUGCUAAUACCGAAUGUGCUGACUUUGGCGCAUGCCAAAGACAACAAAGGUGGCCUCUUUACAAUGCUACCGCUUAGAGAUGGGUCUGCGUCUGAUUAGCUAGUUGGUGAGGUAACGGCUCACCAAGGCGACGAUCAGUAGCCGGUCUGAGAGGAUGAACGGCCACACUGGGACUGAGACACGGCCCAGACUCCUACGGGAGGCAGCAGUGGGGAAUCUUCCGCAAUGGACGAAAGUCUGACGGAGCAACGCCGCGUGAGUGAAGAAGGUUUUCGGAUUGUAAAGCUCUGUCUUUUGGGACGGACGUGAGGUGUGUGAAUAAUGCAUCUCAAUGACGGUACCGGAGGAGGAAGCCACGGCUAACUACGUGCCAGCAGCCGCGGUAAUACGUAGGUGGCAAGCGUUGUCCGGAAUUAUUGGGCGUAAAGCGCGCGCAGGCGGGAUGGUAAGUCUGCUGUCUAAGUGCGGGGCUCAACCCCGUAUCGGCAGUGGAAACUGUCAUUCUUGAGUGCAGGAGAGGAAAGUGGAAUUCCUAGUGUAGCGGUGAAAUGCGUAGAUAUUAGGAGGAACACCAGUGGCGAAGGCGACUUUCUGGACUGUGUCUGACGCUGAGGCGCGAAAGCCAGGGGAGUGAACGGGAUUAGAUACCC
RNAcentral lists this ribosomal RNA (801 nucleotides) under uncultured Veillonellaceae bacterium. Its description in RNAcentral is "bacterial SSU rRNA". It matches the Rfam family "Bacterial small subunit ribosomal RNA", at positions 8 to 787 of the family's 1533-position model. Lineage: Bacteria; Bacillati; Bacillota; Negativicutes; Veillonellales; Veillonellaceae. The record is from RNAcentral.